UACAUAGGGGGCAAGCGUUAUCCGGAAUUAUUGGGCGUAAAGGGUGCGUAGGUGGCCGUUUAAGUCUUUGGUGUAAGUGCAAGGCUCAACCUUGUGAUGCUAAAGAAACUGGAUGGCUUGAGUGUGGUAGAGGCAAGUGGAAUUCCAUGUGUAGCGGUAAAAUGCGUAAAUAUAUGGAGGAACACCGGUGGCGAAGGCGGCUUGCUGGGCCACAACUGACACUGAGGCACGAAAGCGUGGGGAGCAAACAGG
RNAcentral lists this ribosomal RNA (252 nucleotides) under uncultured bacterium. RNAcentral describes it as "partial 16S ribosomal RNA". It matches the Rfam family "Bacterial small subunit ribosomal RNA", at positions 524 to 776 of the family's 1533-position model. The record is from RNAcentral.